RNAcentral lists this ribosomal RNA (861 nucleotides) under uncultured archaeon. Its description in RNAcentral is "bacterial SSU rRNA". It matches the Rfam family "Archaeal small subunit ribosomal RNA", at positions 474 to 1337 of the family's 1478-position model. The record is from RNAcentral.
CACCCGCAGCUCGAGUGGUGGUCACCUUUAUUGAGCCUAAAGCGUUUGUAGCCGGUUUUGCAAAUCUUCAGAUAAAUUCCUCUGCUUAACAGAUGAUCUUCUGAAGAGACUGCGAGACUUGGGACCGGGUGAGGUUGAAGGUACUUCCGGGGUAGGGGUAAAAUCCUGUAAUCCUGGAAGGACGACCGGUGGCGAAGGCGUUCAACUAGAACGGAUCCGACGGUGAGGAACGAGGGCUAGGGUAGCAAACCGGAUUAGAUACCCGGGUAGUCCUAGCUGUAAACACUGCCCACUUGGUGUUGCCCCUCCGAUGAGGGGAGGCAGUGCCGGAGCGAAGGUGUUAAGUGGGCCGCUUGGGGAGUAUGGUCGCAAGGCUGAAACUUAAAGGAAUUGGCGGGGGAGCACCGCAACGGGAGGAGCUUGCGGUUUAAUUGGAUUCAACGCCGGAAAACUCACCGGGAGCGACCUUUGGAUGAGAGUCAGCCUGAUGAGCUUACUCGAUAGAAGGAGAGGUGGUGCAUGGCCGUCGUCAGCUCGUACCGUAGGGCGUUCACUUAAGUGUGAUAACGAGCGAGACCCCCAUCUCUAAUUGCUAACGUGCAUUCGCGUGCACGCGCACUUUAGAGGGACCGCCAGUGCUAAACUGGAGGAAGGAGGGGUCGACGGCAGGUCAGUACGCCCCGAAUCUCCCGGGCAACACGCGCGCUACAAAGGGCAGGACAAUGAGUUGCCACCUCGAAAGGGGGAGCUAAUCUCGAAACCUGCUCGUAGUUAGGAUCGAGGGCUGUAACUCGCCCUCAUGAAUGUGGAUUCCGUAGUAAUCGCGGGUCAACAGCCCGCGGUGAAUAUGCCCCUGCUCCU